Molecule: long non-coding RNA, 1068 nt
Filed under: Fragaria vesca (wild strawberry)
Lineage: Eukaryota; Viridiplantae; Streptophyta; Magnoliopsida; Rosales; Rosaceae
Description: long non-coding RNA (FVES_LNC004194)
Source: RNAcentral
AUAUUUAUACACCCGUCUGUCCACCUUGAUGGCGUAGUGUAGCACCGCAUUAAGGCGUGACGUGAGCGUUGGACGCGAGCGUAGUAGCCCUAUAUAGACCCAUGAAUUUAUAUAGGGAGUAUGGACGAGUGUAAAUACAUACAUAUAUUAUAGAGUCUGAGAGGCUCGAUAUUUUAUGGGAUAAAGGUUUUACCGCUUGCGGCAUGCAUUCGAUUUUUCCUUAGAAAUUAAUUUGGGGAAACAUAAAUAUUUUAUUUAUUAAUUUAUUUUUGUCCACUCACUCUAACGUUAUUAAAUGUUUUCCCCUGGGCCCUUCGUUUUAAAUUGCCCAGUCUGCAGAGUUCGGGUUGGAUCUAGUAGGAGACGAGGCAUAGUCACCCGCUUUUCGGCCAGUUUUCAUCAGUAGGUUACCUGUUCAACCUACUUGUGUUUUCUUGCUUCCGCUUGUGUUUAGUAGCUCUGAAUACUUUAGAAUUUUUGUAUAUUAUGUAAAGUUCAGAAGUGUAAUAUGAAAUUUUCGACUUAGGGUUGUCCAUCUGCAAGGGAGAUUUGCUUAAUCUUUUCAGUAAAUUUUCCUUGGAGGUGGUCCCCGCACGACUUACUCUGGGUUUCAGGGUGAAAUUCGGGGUGGGUCGUGUCAAUUACUCACCUAGAUGAGGGCUACAAGUUGAGCCAAAAAUCACGACCUAUGGUGGCCGGAAGACGGAGCUCCGGCGAACAACCCAUUCCGGCAGUCGAACCUUUCGGGGUUGACCGCUCUCUCACGGCAGAGCUAGGGCUCCUCUCACCGGUCCAGGGACGUUGCUGGGUUGGAGGUCGUUCGAUUGGGACCGGUGCGGCGGCGGUUGGUGGCCGGACGGCGGCGGGAGGGCAGCCGGAAAAUCGGGCAGCGGAAUGCUCGGGUGCGGAGAGGAAAUCGGGAGGGAGAGAGAAAGAAAAGAAGAAGAAAUGGGUUGGGCUCGGCCCAGCCGACCCAACACUCCCUUAUAACCCAAACUUCCAAAAUUCAACACCCCGAAAAAUAAUACCCGAAUAAAAAUUACCUUUUACUAGCUAAAAUUUACUAUU